UUUCAUUCUCACCACAUCAAUUCAUCAAACUAAUUCUCUCCCUCUCUAAUCUCUCUACUCCUAUUUAUUCUCUCUUCUAAUAAUUUUUCUCUCUUCCAUUUAAUAUUUAGCAAGUAGCAAUUAUAGUUUAGCAAUUCAAGAGUUAUACAAGAGGAGAAAGCAUCCCUCUUUUGGAGGUCGGAGUUCAAGAGACAACUCUUCCGACUCUACUCUCUCGGCUCUACUCUCUUCAGCUCUCCUCUUCCGGCUCGGCCCUCCUCUUCCAGCUCUCUAACUCUCCACUCUACUCUUUUUUCUCUUCGGCUCUACUCAAUUUUCUUUUGCUGGUUAUAGGUUAGUUUUUAU
RNAcentral lists this long non-coding RNA (345 nucleotides) under Elaeis guineensis (African oil palm). RNAcentral's name for it is "long non-coding RNA (EGUI_LNC001096)". Lineage: Eukaryota; Viridiplantae; Streptophyta; Magnoliopsida; Arecales; Arecaceae. The record is from RNAcentral.